RNAcentral lists this ribosomal RNA (400 nucleotides) under uncultured bacterium. RNAcentral's name for it is "bacterial SSU rRNA". It matches the Rfam family "Bacterial small subunit ribosomal RNA", at positions 355 to 747 of the family's 1533-position model. The record is from RNAcentral.
UGGGGAAUUUUGGACAAUGGGCGGAAGCCUGAUCCAGCAAUGCCGCGUGAGUGAAGAAGGCCUUCGGGUUGUAAAGCUCUUUCAGUCGAGAAGAAAAGGCUAUGCCGAAUAAGUAUAGUUAAUGACGGUAUCGAAAGAAGAAGCACCGGCUAACUACGUGCCAGCAGCCGCGGUAAUACGUAGGGUGCAAGCGUUAAUCGGAAUUACUGGGCGUAAAGGGUGCGCAGGCGGUACUGUAAGUCAGAUGUGAAAUCCCCGGGCUUAACCUGGGAAUUGCGUUUGAAACUACAGAACUAGAGUGUAAUAGAGGGAGACGGAAUUCCAUGUGUAGCAGUGAAAUGCGUAGAGAUAUGGAAGAACAUCGAUGGCGAAGGCAGUCUCCUGGAUUAACACUGACGCU